AACGAACGCUGGCGGCGCGCCUAAUACAUGCAAGUCGAGCGAGAAGGUGUAGCAAUACACUUGUAAAGCGGCGAACGGGUGAGGAAUACAUGGGUAAUCUACCAUCGAGUGGGGAAUAACCAACCGAAAGGUUGGCUAAUACCGCGUACGCCUCCGAAUCUUCGGGUUCGGAGGGAAAGCUGCACUGUGAGUGUAGCGCUCUUUGAUGAGCUCAUGUCCUAUCAGCUUGUUGGUAGGGUAACGGCCUACCAAGGCUUUGACGGGUAGCUGGUCUGAGAGGACGAUCAGCCACACUGGCACUGCGACACGGGCCAGACUCCUACGGGAGGCAGCAGUAAGGAAUAUUGCGCAAUGGGCGAAAGCCUGACGCAGCGACGCCGCGUGGGGGAUGAAGGUCUUCGGAUUGUAAACCCCUUUCGGAGGGAAGAUGGAGCGAGCAAUCGUUCGGACGGUACCUCCACGAAGCAGCCACGGCCAACUUCGUGCCAGCA
RNAcentral lists this ribosomal RNA (491 nucleotides) under uncultured bacterium. RNAcentral describes it as "bacterial SSU rRNA". It matches the Rfam family "Bacterial small subunit ribosomal RNA", at positions 29 to 513 of the family's 1533-position model. The record is from RNAcentral.